RNAcentral lists this ribosomal RNA (253 nucleotides) under uncultured bacterium. Its description in RNAcentral is "partial 16S ribosomal RNA". It matches the Rfam family "Bacterial small subunit ribosomal RNA", at positions 524 to 776 of the family's 1533-position model. The record is from RNAcentral.
UACAGAGGUGGCAAGCGUUGUUCGGAAUUACUGGGCGUAAAGGGCGCGUAGGCGGUCUUUUAAGUCUUGUGUGAAAUCCCUUGGCUCAACCGAGGAACUGCACGGGAUACUGGAAGACUUGAGUUCGGGAGAGGGAAGCGGAAUUCCGGGUGUAGCGGUGAAAUGCGUAGAUAUCCGGAGGAACACCGGUGGCGAAGGCGGCUUCCUGGACCGACACUGACGCUGAGGCGCGAAAGCUAGGGGAGCAAACGGG